This 4123-nucleotide long non-coding RNA is filed under the name Mus pahari (shrew mouse). RNAcentral describes it as "lncRNA (MGP_PahariEiJ_G0006499.1)". Lineage: Eukaryota; Metazoa; Chordata; Mammalia; Rodentia; Muridae. The record is from RNAcentral.
CGCCGUUAAGUCAUCGCUGCUGCCACCCAGGCACGGCUCUCUAUGCCGCCGCUCCCUCCACCCUCUCUGCACUGCCAGCAGUAAGAAUUUUUACUGCGACACUCGCUUCAGCAGGAGAUUUUAUUGGCUGUAGACACGCCCAGCAUCUUCUUGAGCUCCUCCCUGAGGUGGAUGGGCAGCUAGCUGCAGGUGGCACAGGAUGAUACACAUCUUUUCUCACGCCGCUUUGCCCUCUAGCUCCAAGAUCUCGGCUGCCAGAUGCAGCGACAGAGCUUCUUUGUACAUACAGCCCUGGACACACUUUCAGCAGCAACUCUUCUUGCGCGAGCUGGUGCAAGAACAGGAUUCAUCUGUGGCACAGGAACAGUUGGUGUCAACCGAUGGAGGCAGAGGAGAGACCAGAGCCGUGACUUCAACUGAAGUGGAGUAAAUAAAGAUGAUUGCAGAACUUGGAAGCUGACGAAAUCAGUUUUGGAAAAGAGCUGGCUUGGAGCGUGACAGAAGGGAGAGAUGGAAAGAAUGCUGGGAGUCCAACUCAAGACUGAUGUGUGCUUGGCAGGCAGUCUACCCCAGUCUCAGUCCUCUAGCCUUUUGGCCUUUUUUCCUUUUUGGAGACAGGAUUGCAUCAUAGGGCAGCCUGGCCUCCUACACAGUCCUGCCUCAGUCUCUGGAGUGCUGGGAUUGUAGGCCUAUACCACCGCGCCUUUCUACAAUACAAACAGGAAAGGAAGAGGGGCUUCUUUGGAAAGGAGUAAAAGGACCAUGGAAGAGAUAAGAAGAUAAUGUUGUCAGAAAUUAUGCUGCUUGUGAAGAGGUAAACUGAACCCUUUUGAUUCUGUGAGGUUAUUAAAGAAUAUAAUUUUCAAAUCACGGUAAAAUCUUGAUUCAGAAACACAUGAGGAUAAUCAUUGUUUCCAUGGAAACCUUGGGAGACAGUUGAAAGCCUGGUCCCUGUUGCCUGGAGCAUUAGCCCAGCAUGGCUGCAAAGUUGGUCCUUUCCUGUUACCAUCUCCUGAGUACUGAACUACACGUAUGCGUGAACCUGCCCAUCUCUGCCUCUGUUAACAGCUGCCGUUGUCUCUUCACGAUAUUGUGGCUGACCUAGGUUGGAAGGAACAGAGCCAGUUGGCCAUGGACUGAAACUUUUGGAACUGAUUCUGAGGAGUUAAUGUUUCCAUGAAUAUCUCAGAAGGAGAUGUGGACAAAGGAACACUUGUCUCACUCUCGUAGGUUGGACUACAGUGAUCAUUGAGUAGGAGCUUCAUCUUUAAAACUGGGGUGUGCUCUUAUGGUUGGUAUUCAUUUUUCCUUUACCCGUUUUCCCCAUACCUCCAUUUAUAACUUUAUUGCUGCUCAUAGCUCCAGAAGGAUAUAGUAACAGGGAGAGAAGGCAUGGCCUCUGUGUGGUAAGCUAAGUGAGAGCAGGAAGUGAAGCCAGGGUAGAAAACCCCAGUUUUGACCCUAAGGACAUACUUCAAGCAAGGUACUCCUUCUGAAAGGUACCAUUACAUUCCCACAUGUUACCACCAACUGGGAUACGAGUGUUCAGCAACAUGAGCUAGGGCCACAGUGAUCCUUCCAACCACCACAGAGGGCAGAAUGUACACCCUGCUAGAACAGAUUUCUAUGAAACGAGCCAUCUCUUCUCUGGAGCAGGUAGAGCUAUAAAGAAGACAACCUGGAGUGGUCGUGAAACGAUUUGAGGUUUGGCAUGAACUCUAAGAAGCACGAGAUUUGUGGUUUCCUGUUUUGUUUCUUGCUACGUAGUCCUGGCUGUCCUGAAACUCCCUACAAAGAUUGAGAAGGCCCGAUCUUAUAGCAAUCCUACUGCUGCCUCGCGGUUGUUAGGAUUAUACACAUGGGCACAUGUUCAUUAGAAAGAUACACUGUUCUCUAAUUCAUCUUUUUAGAUAAAGUAAAAAGGGAUGAAGAUUAGCAUGUUACACCACCACUGAUAAAAACCAUUCUGGUAUCAGGUAACAUCCAACUUACUGACAGUUUGGGAUGACAGAGGGGCUGAAUUGAGUUUUUAGAAGGUAAAACACACAGGAAAGUCUAGGGAGCUGAUAGAGCCUGGCUGGAUUGCAGAGCUCGUCCUCAUACUAUUCUACUGACCCAGCUCCUGAGGAAAGGAUCCAGGUGUCUUUACUUCAACGCUGAUUUAGUCAUUGUUCUCAUGACGGGUCCUUUAGGCUGCUUUUUAUUUACCCCUGGGGCUUAGACAAGGGAGAAAAAAUAGAAAAUACUGUCCGAGGUAACCACAGCCACACAGCCUCAGACACCAAGUAGUCAGCCUUAUCAUAGAGCACAGGUGACUGUUCUCAGUCACAUGCUAACGCUGGCUUAUGGUUUUGUUUACAUUAACCAUUCUUUUCCACAGUAUUAAUGUCCUUACACACAAAAUACACAGAAAUCUUUGUUGUAUUAGACUGUUAAACACCAACAGUGAAAAUCCCUAAGGCCCAAAUAUCAAAAUAUAGCACCAAAAUACCAAGUAAGAAUGAAGAGAGUGGCUAGUGGGUUUGACGGUAGAUGCAGACUUUUAUCGUGGUCACUCCUACAAUGCAGAACAUUCUUGUUUAUUAGUUUGAUACCAGUCAUCUGAUGUCAUGUUGGCAACUGGAGAUUCUAUAUACAAGAACGGGAGCUCUGAGAAAACAUUGUAGGAAUUACGCUUUAUGAGACAAUGUGGACCUUGGCAGUCUUGGUUAAGUCUCUUGGGAUGGGUAGGGUAGAACUUGACUUUCAGUUAUUCUACAUUGAGUUCCCUUAACACCUGAGUCAAGCUUUAUUGUAUUACCCUCAGUCUUGCCUCCUCAUGUUGUGUGGACUCCUUAUCUCCUGCCUCUCUUUGCCCGACCCAACUGUGUUUCAGCAAUCUUCUUUCCCUGCCCAGAACUGGAUCUGUGAAAAGCUGAAUCAUGAAUGAAAACUCAAUGAGUGUGCGGACUGGAACCUGAAUUACUCUCUGGAGAGAACGAAAGGAGUGGUGCCCAAGAAGAUGGAGAGGGAAGUUAUGAAAUGCUGUGACCAAAUGACAAAUGCUGAUGUUUUGGGAGAUUUUGUUUCCCAUAGGAAAUAGAGUGAAUGCGAUACAUUUCUUUUGUGAGGGAUUCGUCUUUUCGCUUGUUACAGGUUACUCCUUUUUUCGAGAUUUCUAUUUACCUAAUUGAGAAAGAAACCAGAACAAGGUUAUCACUGAAUUAGAGACUUAAGGACAAGGUAUAGAACUGAUAAAUUAGUAAUUAACUGAUUAAAAAAGUACGAUUUAUAUCCAAUAGACAGAAAGGCUCCAGACAUCCUUAGUGCUGUCUUAGCACUAGGUUAGUCUACCUAAUACUUGUCAUUCUGAAAUGUAUGGUGGAACAUCCAACCGGCAAGAGCUACUUCAGGGAAGGACUAUAAUUUUUGUCACAGGACUAUAAUUUUAACACAGCGAAGCUCCCUGUACACUUUCAUUAUAGAUAUUUCUCUUCUGGUGACUCUGAAUGCUCUUCCUACUUUCAGCUCACUUGGCAUGUUGAACUCAAAUUUUAUCAUCUCAUGAAUUAGUCCAAUACCUGAAGGAGCAAGAGAAACAGCACCCGGUUGACAAGAAUAUGACCUGUUGAUUGAACACCAUUAAAAAAUAAUUUGAUUCAGUUGGACUGGGCUUUUUUUUUCCCUCAGUGAAAGUAACAUGAUUAACAUUUUGAAAGUUGUGAACAUGCAUACUUCUAUAAGCCACAAAAUAAUUACUUAUAAAAAUCUGAGUAUGGAUACUGCAUAAUUUCAGAACAGAAUACCCAUCAUAUUGUAUAUAUCUUGAAUUCAAGGUUUGAAAAUUAUAUGUCUAUGUCAUCUAAUAUGUACUUCUGCAUUUUAUCUAGAUCAUACCAUAUUACUGUACAGUUUGGACUUUCCCAUUUUUUAAUAUAAAAUGUAACAUGCAUUGUAGAUUAAUACUUAUAUAUCUUGUUUCUUUAAAAUUAAUUUCUAACAAUUAUUUUCUUUAUUUGAAUACUUGGGGUAUCAUAAAGGUGCUGUUGAGGUAUUUUCAAUAUACUUGUACAACUUCCUGCCUGUAGUUAAUAAACGUGGAUAUUUCAUUAAACAAUUGAAAUGCAUCAUUUACUCUUUGUAA